UACGUAGGGUGCAAGCGUUGUCCGGAAUUAUUGGGCGUAAAGAGCUCGUAGGCGGUUUGUCGCGUCGAAUGUGAAAACCCGGGGCUCAACCCCGGGCCUGCAUUCGAUACGGGCAGACUAGAGUUCGGUAGGGGAGACUGGAAUUCCUGGUGUAGCGGUGAAAUGCGCAGAUAUCAGGAGGAACACCGGUGGCGAAGGCGGGUCUCUGGGCCGUAACUGACGCUGAGGAGCGAAAGCGUGGGGAGCGAACAGG
RNAcentral lists this ribosomal RNA (253 nucleotides) under uncultured bacterium. RNAcentral describes it as "partial 16S ribosomal RNA". It matches the Rfam family "Bacterial small subunit ribosomal RNA", at positions 524 to 776 of the family's 1533-position model. The record is from RNAcentral.